RNAcentral lists this transfer RNA (66 nucleotides) under human gut metagenome. It matches the Rfam family "tRNA", at positions 5 to 66 of the family's 71-position model. From Rfam's summary of the family: Transfer RNA (tRNA) molecules are approximately 80 nucleotides in length. The record is from RNAcentral.
CCGAUGGCUCAGCUGGUUAGAGCGCCGCCCUGUCACGGCGGAGGUCGUGGGUUCGAACCCCAUUCG